Molecule: ribosomal RNA, 120 nt
Filed under: uncultured bacterium
Lineage: Bacteria
Description: partial 16S ribosomal RNA
Rfam family: Bacterial small subunit ribosomal RNA
Source: RNAcentral
GACGAACGCUGGCGGCGUGCUUAACACAUGCAAGUCGAGCGGAAAGGCCCUUUCGGGGGUACUCGAGCGGCGAACGGGUGAGUAACACGUGAGUAAUCUGCCCCUCACUCUGGGAUAACU